Molecule: ribosomal RNA, 546 nt
Filed under: Bacillus thuringiensis
Lineage: Bacteria; Bacillati; Bacillota; Bacilli; Caryophanales; Bacillaceae
Description: bacterial SSU rRNA
Rfam family: Bacterial small subunit ribosomal RNA
Source: RNAcentral
CGUUCGAAAUUGAAAGGCGGCUUCGGCUGUCACUUAUGGAUGGACCCGCGUCGCAUUAGCUAGUUGGUGAGGUAACGGCUCACCAAGGCAACGAUGCGUAGCCGACCUGAGAGGGUGAUCGGCCACACUGGGACUGAGACACGGCCCAGACUCCUACGGGAGGCAGCAGUAGGGAAUCUUCCGCAAUGGACGAAAGUCUGACGGAGCAACGCCGCGUGAGUGAUGAAGGCUUUCGGGUCGUAAAACUCUGUUGUUAGGGAAGAACAAGUGCUAGUUGAAUAAGCUGGCACCUUGACGGUACCUAACCAGAAAGCCACGGCUAACUACGUGCCAGCAGCCGCGGUAAUACGUAGGUGGCAAGCGUUAUCCGGAAUUAUUGGGCGUAAAGCGCGCGCAGGUGGUUUCUUAAGUCUGAUGUGAAAGCCCACGGCUCAACCGUGGAGGGUCAUUGGAAACUGGGAGACUUGAGUGCAGAAGAGGAAAGUGGAAUUCCAUGUGUAGCGGUGAAAUGCGUAGAGAUAUGGAGGAACACCAGUGGCGAAGGCG